GAGGGCAUAGCUCAGUGGUAGAGCGCAUGCCCAGCAUGCAUGAGGUCCUGGGUUCAAUUCCCUGUACCUCUG
Molecule: transfer RNA, 72 nt
Filed under: Camelus bactrianus (Bactrian camel)
Lineage: Eukaryota; Metazoa; Chordata; Mammalia; Artiodactyla; Camelidae
Also listed under: 2 other names
Rfam family: tRNA
About the family: Transfer RNA (tRNA) molecules are approximately 80 nucleotides in length. Their secondary structure includes four short double-helical elements and three loops (D, anti-codon, and T loops).
Source: Rfam by way of RNAcentral